This 377-nucleotide unclassified non-coding RNA is filed under the name uncultured Actinomycetes bacterium. RNAcentral describes it as "uncultured actinobacterium contains 16S-23S intergenic spacer region". Lineage: Bacteria; Bacillati; Actinomycetota; Actinomycetes. The record is from RNAcentral.
UCCGAGUUGACCCCGGCAGUCUCUCGCGAGUCCCCGCCAUGACGCGCUGGCAACAUGAGACAAGGGUUGCGCUCGUUGCGGGACUUAACCCAACAUCUCACGACACGAGCUGACGACAGCCAUGCACCACCUGCACACAGGCCACAAGGGAACCGACAUCUCUGCCGGCGUCCUGUGCAUGUCAAACCCAGGUAAGGUUCUUCGGGUUGCAUCGAAUUAAGCCGCAUGCUCCGCCGCUUGUGCGGGGACCCGUCAAUUCCUUUGAGUUUUAGCCUUGCGGCCGUACUCCCCAGGCGGGACACUUAAUGCGUUAGCUUCGGCACGGAAGGAGUCGACACCUCCCACACCUAGUGUCCAUCGUUUACGGCGUGGACUAC